CCAAUAGCGUAUAUUAAAGUUGUUGCAGUUAAAAAGCUCGUAGUUGAAUUUCGGGGUCAGCAAGUUGGUCGUGCCACCGGUAUGUACUGGCUUUGCUGAUUCCUCCUUCUUGUAGAACCGUAAUGCCAUUCACUUGGUGUUGCGGGGAAACAGGACUGUUACUUUGAAAAAAUUAGAGUGUUUAAAGCAGGUUAACGCCUGAAUACAUUAGCAUGGAAUAAUGAAAUAGGACGAGCGAUCUUAUUUUGUUGGUUUCUAGGAUUGACGUAAUGAUUAAUAGGGAUAGUUGGGGGCAUUAGUAUUCAAUUGUCAGAGGUGAAAUUCUUGGAUUUAUUGAAGACUGACUACUGCGAAAGCAUUUGCCAAGGAUGUUUUCAUUAAUCAAGAACGAAAGUUAGGGGAUCGAAGACGAUCAGAUACCGUCGUAGUCUUAACCAUAAACUAUGCCGACUAGGGAUCGGAUGAUGUUAAUUUUUUAAUGACUCAUUCGGCGCCUUACG
This 500-nucleotide ribosomal RNA is filed under the name uncultured Glomeromycotina. Its description in RNAcentral is "partial small subunit ribosomal RNA". It matches the Rfam family "Eukaryotic small subunit ribosomal RNA", at positions 591 to 1092 of the family's 1831-position model. The record is from RNAcentral. Lineage: Eukaryota; Fungi; Glomeromycota.